RNAcentral lists this long non-coding RNA (589 nucleotides) under Numida meleagris (helmeted guineafowl). RNAcentral describes it as "lncRNA (ENSNMEG00000005872.1)". The record is from RNAcentral. Lineage: Eukaryota; Metazoa; Chordata; Aves; Galliformes; Numididae.
AUGUGGCUGUGGGUGCCUGUGCUGGGAGCAACCUGUGUGUGUUGCUCAAGUGCUUGAUCCGGCAAAGGUCAAGCUUGGUGCAAGUCUAGUAGCAAAAAGGCCAAAUACAUGAGAUGUGAGAUGCUGAGGCAGAAGAGUUCUGUUGGAUGGACUAAUUAACAGCCUUGGCCGGAAGAUCAUUACAUAUAUUGUGGACCCAAAGCCAUGGCUUUCAGGGAGAUGAAAAGGAAGUGCUAAGCUGCUGUUGACCCUGCUGCCUCCCGGCUAGAUGUCUCUGCUCAUCUGGCCCUGACAGUAAACAGGGUUGCAGGAUGGAAUGCAAGCUAAUGAGCUUGGUCUUCGGAAGAAGAUGCUCUUCUGGUGGAAGCUGUCUAGUCUUGACUCAACAAUUUUCAUUCCAUUGGACCUGUCGGUUGUCCCCACCACUAGAAAAAGCACUUCCUUUUCAAUAGUACGAUUUCUCCAGCCUGUGAAGCCAGACAUGACUGGUCAGCUUUUGUCUGCACUGACUGCUGGAAGCUCUGCAUCACACCUGGCCCCAGCAGCCUGCUUGGAGGUGGCAGUCUGGGUGCUCACGGCUGUUCUCUGA